Molecule: ribosomal RNA, 300 nt
Filed under: Triticum aestivum (bread wheat)
Lineage: Eukaryota; Viridiplantae; Streptophyta; Magnoliopsida; Poales; Poaceae
Description: partial small subunit ribosomal RNA
Source: RNAcentral
AUGGACCUCCUCCUCAACCAUGCAGCGGCAACAGAGGAGCACCUUCCUCCGUCUGCUUCUACUCCAUCGAGCUCCGACCUCAGCGUUGCUGGCAUGGAACGCGUCAAGAUCCCGCGGGGAACUCAGAGAUGGGAGAGGAUGCCGGUAGGAAGUAGGCAUGGUUUUCAAUUUCAGGUUCAGAAAAAAUUCAGCAGCAACCAAAAUCACCGAAGUUCAGAGAAUUUAGUGAUUUCAGUUGGCAUUUCGGCCAAAGGGCUGAAAUAUUCACUUGAAUAUUUGGAAUUUUCAAAAAAUAUUUGA